Molecule: unclassified non-coding RNA, 215 nt
Filed under: Hevea brasiliensis (rubber tree)
Lineage: Eukaryota; Viridiplantae; Streptophyta; Magnoliopsida; Malpighiales; Euphorbiaceae
Source: RNAcentral
GCGGAGGAGUUGCUGCGGCGAUGAUGUCCGCCGCAGCAACUCCUCCGCUGACGAAUUUCACGGCCACGACUGCUUCACGGCCUGCGGUCCCCUCGAUCCAGUGUAACUUGCUGUUCUAUGAUAGACAUCACGUUUACUCUCAUAAAAAGUAUUCCAAAAAUGGAAUUACCAUUAAGUAUACAGAUCUCCCCAAGCACAUCAGACCAGAAAAGGGA